Molecule: long non-coding RNA, 508 nt
Organism: Nannospalax galili (Upper Galilee mountains blind mole rat)
Lineage: Eukaryota; Metazoa; Chordata; Mammalia; Rodentia; Spalacidae
Exons: 3
Source: RefSeq, a predicted model, not a curated record
ACCCGGUGGGAGCGGGGAGCUGGGGCCUGGCCUUCCGCUCGCGUCCCCCUCCUGCCGGGACAGCCGCUGUCCGCCUCGCCCCGUCCGCCUUUCUUUCUCCCUUUUCUCUGUCCCUUUUUUUCCUUUCCUCCCUUCCAAGAUGGCCGAAGUGGAUUCCCCCUCUUAACGAUUUGGCUUCUCCCUCGACCACCUCCUCUUUGUGCAGCAGUCCUCUGCUAGAUCCUGCCCCCGAGGGUGGCGUGUUCCAGUCUCCCCAGUCCUGACCCCGGCAUCAUGCAUCGGACUACACGGAUUAAAAUCACAGAGCUGAACCCUCACCUCAUGUGUGCCCUCUGUGGGGGCUACUUCAUUGAUGCUACUACUAUCGUGGAGUGCUUGCAUUCUUUCUGCAAAACCUGCAUUGUGCGCUACCUGGAGACCAACAAAUACUGCCCCAUGUGUGAUGUGCAGGUCCAUAAAACCCGACCGCUGUUGAGCAUCAGGUGGGCCUGGCACUGCUCUGGGGCUG